CUAUUCCUGUACCACCGUAAGCCGUUACGAGCAAUGGGGUGACGCAGAAGGAUAGUGACGCGGGCUGAUGGAUGCCCGUCCAAGCAGUGAGGCUGAUGUGUAGGCAAAUCCGCACAUCGUAAGGCUGGGCUGUGAUGGGGAGCGAAAAUUGCAGUAGCGAAGGUCAUGAGUUCAGGCUGCCAAGAAAAGCCUCUAGCCAGGUGAAGGUGCCCGUACCGCAAACCGACACAGGUAGGCGAGCAGAGUAUGCUAAGGCGCUCGGAAGAACUCUCGUUAAGGAACUCGGCAAAAUGACCCCGUAACUUCGGGAGAAGGGGUGCCUCGGUAGGGUGAAUAGCCCGAGGGGGCCGCAGUGAAAAGGCCCAAGCGACUGUUUAGCAAAAACACAGGUCUGUGCGAAGCCGUAAGGCGAAGUAUACGGGCUGACGCCUGCCCGGUGCUGGAAGGUUAAGGGGAGUGGUUAGCCGCAAGGCGAAGCUAUGAACCGAAGCCCCAGUAAACGGCGGCCGUAACAAUAACGGUCCUAAGGUAGCGAAAUUCCUUGUCAGGUAAAUUCUGACCCGCACGAAUGGCGUAACGACUUGGGCGCUGUCUCAACGAGAGAUCCGGUGAAAUUUUAAUACCUGUGAAGAUGCAGGUUACCCGCGACAAGACGGAAAGACCCCAUGGAGCUUUACUGCAGCUUGAUAUUGGACUUUGGUACGAUCUGUACAGGAUAGGUGGGAGCCUAGGAAACCGGAGCGCCAGCUUCGGUGGAGGCAUCGUUGGGAUACCACCCUGAUCGUAUCGGAGUUCUAACCUGGUACCGUGAUCCGGUACAGGGACCGUGUCAGGUGGGCAGUUUGACUGGGGCGGUCGCCUCCUAAAAUGUAACGGAGGCGCCCAAAGGUUCCCUCAGAAUGGUUGGAAAUCAUUCGUAGCGUGUAAAGGCAUAAGGGAGCUUGACUGCGAGACCUACAAGUCGAGCAGGGACGAAAGUCGGGCUUAGUGAUCCGGUGGUACCGCAUGGAAGGGCCAUCGCUCAACGGAUAAAAGCUACCCUGGGGAUAACAGGCUUAUCUCCCCCAAGAGUCCACAUCGACGGGGAGGUUUGGCACCUCGAUGUCGGCUCAUCGCAUCCUGGGGCUGAAGUAGGUCCCAAGGGUUGGGCUGUUCGCCCACUAAAGCGGUACGCGAGCCGGGUUCAGAACGUCGUGAGACAGUUCGGUCCCUAUCUGUCGUGGGCGUAGGAAAUUUGCGAGGAGCUGUCCUUAGUACGAGAGGACCGGGAUGGACGCACCGCUGGUGUACCAGUUGUUCCGCCAGGAGCACCGCUGGGUAGCCAAGUGCGGACGGGAUAAGCGCUGAAAGCAUCUAAGCGUGAAGCCCCCCUCAAGAUGAGAUUUCCCAGUAUGUAAGACCCCUGGAAGACGACCAGGUUGAUAGGUUCGAGGUGGAAGCGCGGCAACGUGUGGAGCUGACGAAUACUAAUCGGUCGAGGGCUUAUCCG
This 1489-nucleotide ribosomal RNA is filed under the name metagenome. RNAcentral describes it as "bacterial LSU rRNA". It matches the Rfam family "Bacterial large subunit ribosomal RNA", at positions 1433 to 2925 of the family's 2925-position model. The record is from RNAcentral.